Molecule: long non-coding RNA, 2658 nt
Organism: Hemicordylus capensis (graceful crag lizard)
Lineage: Eukaryota; Metazoa; Chordata; Lepidosauria; Squamata; Cordylidae
Exons: 2
Source: RefSeq, a predicted model, not a curated record
UGGAAGCGCGAAGGUGGUGUCAGGAUCUUGCCGAAAGGAGAGAGGAAUUCCAGGCGACGUCCCUGCAGCACUUUCCUAAUGGAUCGAGCCAUUCCCUUCGGCGCGCAGGGAUGGCGGCGGCGGCGGCGGCGGCUCUUCCCUGUAAACCUGCCAAGCGAAAUUGCACCAUCAGAGCGGUCUAACUUCAGUGGGUGGGGACCAGGGUGCUUCCUUAAACAGGCAGGAGAAGGAGCGAGCGAAGGGAAGCGCUGCCAGCGCCGCGAUCCUCCUUCCUGGGCGGCUGUUGCCGCCGCCGCCGCCGCUCUUCGCCAGCACCGCUGCAGCCGCGUUUGCUUCUGGAUGUGUCAUCUCACACGUGGUGGGGCUUUUCUUGCGCCGCGAAAACUUUCGAGGGAUACUUGCUUGCUUCCAACUUGGACAUACGCUCGGUGACAUCGGCAGGGGAGUGGGGGGGACCCUCUUCGCCCUGCACGGAUCCAGUCGCCUCUUCCAACCUGGGGUGGUGUGCUGCCUCCCCCCUUUCUCCCUCCCUCUCUGCUCUUGGAAUUCCGCUCCCACCUUUAAAGCGUUUGCAUCCUGGACAAUUUUUUUCCUCCCCCCCCCCCUUCUUCUUAACACGGAAAAUGUUGCAAUGUGUCUUUUUUAACGACCGGGCUCUAUUUUUCUGAGGGGUGGGCCGCUGCCUCCUCCUCCCACCCCACCCCACCCCUUCCCCUCGGUUUUUCUCCACUUUAGUUCAAGAAGAUCUGGAAGGCCACAUCCUGCAAGCCUUCGCUUGGCUGGCUGGCUUCCCCCUGACAUAAGGGUUCCGUUCCCAUGAAGCUCUUCUUGAUUAUCAAUCUGGGAACCUAUGCAGACCGUCACAACUUGCCUCCAUGCAACAGAGAAUGUACUGCACAGAGUGGCCUUUUCUGUGUGUUGCUUCAUGAAUAGCAGAUGUUAAGUUUCCAAAUCAAAGAAAGCUGCUUCCAGAUCCUGCAGUUAGUUCCAAUGAGGGAAUGUAUACCAUCAUUUGGGAUUAGGCUGGCCUUGUGGUAGCAAGCAUGAAUUGUCCCCUUUGCUAAGCAGGGUUUGCAACUACUUGUGAAAAUGCUGUCUGCUGUAAGAUAUUCCCCUGAGGGCAGGGAUUCUUAAACGUGAGCCCCCCAGGUGUUGUCUGGCCUUUGGCCAUUGUGGCUAGGGAUGAUGGGAGUUGUAGUCCAGCAACAUCUGGGGACCCAAGUUUGAGAACCUCUGUCUUAGGGGAUGGGGUUUUGCUCAGGAGCAGAGCAUCUGCUUUGCAUUCAGAAGGUCCCAGGUUCCAUCCCUGCCUGGCAUCUCCGGACCAAGGAUCUGCCUGGCAUCUCCAGACCAAGGCAGCUUCCUAUGCUCCUUUCUUAAACUUGUACAGUGGUUCUGGACUACAGCUCCCAUAAUUCCCCUGUUGGGGGUUGUAAUUUUAUCCCCCAGUUAAUUAGCAGAGCACUAAAGAAGCUACCCACUCCAGUUACAGAGUAGAAUGCAGAGUUUAGUUGUUGCAGCUAUUUAGAGAAGACACAUGGAGAUUCUUGUAGAAUAACAUUCUAAGAAAAUUUAUUGGUGAAGUACACCUUUGGAUAGGAAAGACCUAAUCCUUAAUCUAAAGAACUACAUUAUGAAUAGGUAGGGAGAGAGAGCAAUGUUUCCAUCUGCUCCCUAAGAGUAAAGGAAGGGAUUCUGAGCUGACUCAGCACAGGAAAUACCUGAAGAGUCAUAUCAGGGGUCAUAGAGUAGAGACAGGUAGAACAGCUAGGGAGACCCUUACUCACCAUCUCUACUCCCAAUGCCCCUAGUGGUCAUUAGGAUAGUUGGUGCAAAAGGUCGAUGCACUGGAACUCCAACAUCCCCAGUCACAGGCCACUGCGAUUGGAGAAAGGGGAGAUUGUAGUCCAACAACAUCUAGGCCCAGAGUUGGAGAGCCCUUGAUCUAAAGAGCUUUUUAGUUGGGUUUAGCUAUGCUGGUUCAUAGCUGAGGCGUUGCUUCCACCAUGUGGAACCUGCCUUUGGAUCAGGCCUGCUCAACUUAGGCCCCACAGCUGUUUUUGGACUACAACUCCCAUAAUUCCCAGCCGCAGUGACCAAUAGCCAAGGAUUAUGGGAUUUGUAUGCCAACAUCUUCAGGAGGGCCAAAGUUGGGCGGCCCUGCUUUGGAUCAAAGGAAUUUAAUCAAAUAGGGAUGUGGUUUUGUUUCAGGGGCAGAAAUAUCUGUAGAGAUGGGUCAAUUCAGAAGACACUUUAGAUCAGAACCCUAAACAACCCUAUUAAUGUUGUCUCCGCAUCCCAAUGCACAUGCAUAUCAUUCUGUUUGAUAAGCUGCAUAGAUGCUGGUCAGCUGUUUAGGGGGAGAAGUAUAGAGGGACUCCAUCCAACUGAUCUGCGUUAUCACUGAUAGGGCUGACAGGGCCACACGUGUGCAGCCUCGGAUGCUGGAUCAGACCAGGGAAUUAUGCAAGCAGCUCCCAUGACAGAGUAUAAUUUCCCAGCCAGCUAGAAAUACAGAUGCAGAAGCUGACUUGCAUGCUCAUCUGGCCCUGAAGCAAAUUGGGGCAACUAUCUGUGGCAACUGCCAGAUGCCUAAUGGCUGGAAAAGACAGCAGUCCAAUUGUAUCUUUUUUAAAAAUAAAGUUUUAUUUGUUUGUC